UACAUGGGGUGCAAACGUUGCUCGGAAUUAUUGGGCGUAAAGCGCACGUAGGUGGUCUGUUAUGUCGGAUGUGAAAGCCCUCGGCUCAACUGAGGAAGUGCAUCCGAAACUGGCAGGCUUGAGUAUGUAAGAGGGUCGCGGAAUUCCCGGUGUAGAGGUGAAAUUCGUAGAUAUCGGGAGGAACACCGGUGGCGAAGGCGGCGACCUGGGACAAUACUGACACUGAGGUGCGAAAGCGUGGGGAGCGAACAGG
RNAcentral lists this ribosomal RNA (253 nucleotides) under uncultured bacterium. Its description in RNAcentral is "partial 16S ribosomal RNA". It matches the Rfam family "Bacterial small subunit ribosomal RNA", at positions 524 to 776 of the family's 1533-position model. The record is from RNAcentral.